This 658-nucleotide ribosomal RNA is filed under the name uncultured Bacillus sp. Its description in RNAcentral is "bacterial SSU rRNA". It matches the Rfam family "Bacterial small subunit ribosomal RNA", at positions 71 to 716 of the family's 1533-position model. The record is from RNAcentral. Lineage: Bacteria; Bacillati; Bacillota; Bacilli; Caryophanales; Bacillaceae.
GAAGGGAGCUUGCUCCCAGAUGUUAGCGGCGGACGGGUGAGUAACACGUGGGUAACCUGCCUGUAAGACUGGGAUAACUCCGGGAAACCGGAGCUAAUACCGGAUAGUUCCUUGAACCGCAUGGUUCAAGGAUGAAAGACGGUUUCGGCUGUCACUUACAGAUGGACCCGCGGCGCAUUAGCUAGUUGGUGGGGUAAUGGCUCACCAAGGCGACGAUGCGUACCGACCUGAGAGGGUGAUCGGCCACACUGGGACUGAGACACGGCCCAGACUCCUACGGGAGGCAGCAGUAGGGAAUCUUCCGCAAUGGACGAAAGUCUGACGGAGCAACGCCGCGUGAGUGAUGAAGGUUUUCGGAUCGUAAAGCUCUGUUGUUAGGGAAGAACAAGUGCGAAGUAACUGCUCGCACCUUGACGGUACCUAACCAGAAAGCCACGGCUAACUACGUGCCAGCAGCCGCGGUAAUACGUAGGUGGCAAGCGUUGUCCGGAAUUAUUGGGCGUAAAGGGCUCGCAGGCGGUUUCUUAAGUCUGAUGUGAAAGCCCCCGGCUCAACCGGGGAGGGUCAUUGGAAACUGGGAAACUUGAGUGCAGAAGAGGAGAGUGGAAUUCCACGUGUAGCGGUGAAAUGCGUAGAGAUGUGGAGGAACACCAGUGGC